This 292-nucleotide long non-coding RNA is filed under the name Amphibalanus amphitrite. RNAcentral's name for it is "uncharacterized LOC122377034, transcript variant X3". The record is from RNAcentral. Lineage: Eukaryota; Metazoa; Arthropoda; Thecostraca; Balanomorpha; Balanidae.
GCGGAGCGUCGCUCGGUACGGGCAGUGCAAUAGCAUCACGAAUGCCUCCUUGAAGCUAACAAAAUGGGGUAUAACCGGCGAGUGUCACAAUUCAUCUCCAGCCUCAGGAUUGGACCGAUAACCAGUUACGUUUUAGUAGCUGCGGUUGUAAUGACACUGUCACUACACCUUCUCAAGGAGCGUAAAAUCUACUCUGUAUCAGAGAAUUUCCAAGAUUCUACGGUCGAAAGUAGGACUGCGACCAAAUCCACCUCUACAGAGAUACGUGGAAUAAACCAAAAAGGUGCGGGCG